GCCGUGGUGAUGAAAUUGGUAGACAUGCCACCUUGAGGGGGUGGUGCCCGCAAGGGUGUGUGAGUUCGAAUCUCAUCCACGGUA
This 84-nucleotide transfer RNA is filed under the name Bacteroidota bacterium. RNAcentral's name for it is "tRNA-Leu". It matches the Rfam family "tRNA". Rfam says of the family: Transfer RNA (tRNA) molecules are approximately 80 nucleotides in length. Their secondary structure includes four short double-helical elements and three loops (D, anti-codon, and T loops). Lineage: Bacteria; Pseudomonadati; Bacteroidota. The record is from RNAcentral.